RNAcentral lists this ribosomal RNA (115 nucleotides) under Hydra viridissima (green hydra). The record is from RNAcentral. Lineage: Eukaryota; Metazoa; Cnidaria; Hydrozoa; Anthoathecata; Hydridae.
GUUAAGCACCGUCAAGCCAGGGUAGUACUUGGAUGGGUGACCGCCUGGGAACUCCUGGUGCCGUAGGCUUUGCCUACGACCAUACCACGGUGAACACACCCGUUCUCGUCCGAUC